UAGCUCAGUGGCAGAGCACUUGCCUAGCAUGCAAAAAGCUCUGGGUUCAAUCCCUAG
This 57-nucleotide transfer RNA is filed under the name Heterocephalus glaber (naked mole-rat). It matches the Rfam family "tRNA", at positions 8 to 63 of the family's 71-position model. From Rfam's summary of the family: Transfer RNA (tRNA) molecules are approximately 80 nucleotides in length. Their secondary structure includes four short double-helical elements and three loops (D, anti-codon, and T loops). The record is from Rfam by way of RNAcentral. Lineage: Eukaryota; Metazoa; Chordata; Mammalia; Rodentia; Bathyergidae.